Molecule: ribosomal RNA, 253 nt
Filed under: uncultured bacterium
Lineage: Bacteria
Description: partial 16S ribosomal RNA
Rfam family: Bacterial small subunit ribosomal RNA
Source: RNAcentral
UACAGAGGUCCCAAGCGUUGUUCGGAUUCACUGAGCGUAAAGGGUGCGCCGGUGGGUUUGCAAGUUCGAUGUGAAAGCCCCGGGCUUAACCCGGGAAUGGCAUUGGAUACUGCAGAUCUGGAGGAUCGGAGGGGGGACUGGAAUUCUUGGUGUAGCAGUGAAAUGCGUAGAUAUCAAGAGGAACACCAGUGGCGAAGGCGAGUCCCUGGACGAUACCUGACACUGAGGCACGAAAGCUAGGGGAGCAAACGGG